ACGAACGCUGACGGUGUGCUUCAUACAUGCAAGUCGAACGAAGAGGUCCCCUCGGGGAUACUUCAGUGGCGGACGGGUGAGUAACGCGUAGGUAACGUACCUCAUACAGGGGGAUAACAUCGGGAAACCGGUGCUAAUACCGCAUAAGUCAUUGGUUGAAAUACUGAUGAUUAAACGGAGUAAUCCGGUAUGAGAUCGGCCUGCGUCAGAUUAGCUUGUUGGUAGGGUAACGGCCUACCAAGGCGAUGAUCUGUAGUUGGUCUGAGAGGAUGAUCAGCCACAGUGGGACUGAGACACGGCCCACACUCCUACGGGAGGCAGCAGUAGGGAAUAUUGCGCAAUGGGCGAAAGCCUGACGCAGCAACACCGUGUGUAGGAUGAAGCUUUUCGGAGUGUAAACUACUGUCAGCUGGGAAGAAUAAUGACUGUACCAGCAGAGGAAGCAUCGGCUAACUACGU
Molecule: ribosomal RNA, 459 nt
Filed under: uncultured bacterium
Lineage: Bacteria
Description: bacterial SSU rRNA
Rfam family: Bacterial small subunit ribosomal RNA
Source: RNAcentral